RNAcentral lists this long non-coding RNA (421 nucleotides) under Homo sapiens (human). RNAcentral describes it as "HSALNT0025808". The record is from RNAcentral. Lineage: Eukaryota; Metazoa; Chordata; Mammalia; Primates; Hominidae.
CAUUUUUGCUCCCCAUGGACACGCUUGUCUCAGAUUUUUUAAAACGCCAAGGGUGGGAGGCAGCAUGAUGCAGAAAGGGCAGAAAACGUAAGGGCUGGAUUUGGGGACCCUUACUAGACACCUUGGGGCAUGCAGCACAGUGCAGGCCCACAGGCACAUGUGCUGGGGUGAGGCACCAGUCAUGAAAGCCAAGUCCACCGAGGUCCUGGGAAACAAGGUCUCAGCACAGGCGGAGAAACUGGGAGCCUGGAAAAGGGAAAGAAGUUGGUCCACACUGCACAGGGAUCUCCCCUUCUCACAGAGGCUCAGGCCCGGCGUCCCCGCGGGAAGCACUUAGACAACCAAACACCUGAACAGGACGUUUCUCCCAGUCAGGCUGGACACGCUGGAGAGUUAGGAGGGCCAAGGGCGAGACCAGCUC